UACGAAGGGGCUAGCGUUGUUCGGAAUUACUGGGCGUAAAGCGCGCGUAGGCGGAUCGCUAAGUCAGGGGUGAAAUCCCAGGGCUCAACCCUGGAACUGCCUUUGAUACUGACGGUCUGGAGAUCGGGAGAGGUGAGUGGAAUUCCGAGUGUAGAGGUGAAAUUCGUAGAUAUUCGGAGGAACACCAGAAGCGAAGGCGGCUCACUGGCCCGAUACUGACGCUGAGGCGCGAAAGCGUGGGUAGCAAACAGGA
Molecule: ribosomal RNA, 253 nt
Filed under: uncultured bacterium
Lineage: Bacteria
Description: partial 16S ribosomal RNA
Rfam family: Bacterial small subunit ribosomal RNA
Source: RNAcentral